Molecule: long non-coding RNA, 612 nt
Organism: Branchiostoma belcheri (Belcher's lancelet)
Lineage: Eukaryota; Metazoa; Chordata; Leptocardii; Amphioxiformes; Branchiostomatidae
Exons: 4
Source: RefSeq, a predicted model, not a curated record
CUUGAUGUUGCAAUGGUCUGUCUGACUCACAAUAAGCCGAAGUGAAAAGACGAGUUCUACUUCAUUCCACACAGAAGAGAUUCCGAGGCGGAUCGUAGCUGAACUAUCUCUAACAUUGGUGUCUGAUUUGUGCUGAUUUUCUGCACAGGGCAAAGAUGAAGGGAUCCCUGAAACUCGUGCUCCUGUUGGUCACCUUGGCGGUGCUGAUAUCGACUGCUGAUGCCCGUUCCCAGGGGCCGCGACGACAACAUUCGGGCCGCAGCCGGGCGCAAUCCUCGUGACUUGGCACCAGUUGUUGCCCAGGGGAAAGACAAGGCGGAGAAGAAGACUGGCAAUCUGCUCCUCGCCAGGCUGAAAAGGGCUCCUUGUAACUGUUGGGAACACCCUAGUUGCUGUAGCGGUUUGGCAUGAAGGAUGAAGAGACGCCAUCAUCCAGUGCUACGCAUGCUUCACAGCGCACAGACGUCAUCCAUGAAAAUUACUUUGUUUAUUUGUUUAUUAAAAUUUUCCAGCACAUGCAUGGAGGGGGAGGGAGAACAAGUGGGUCACCUUUACCAGCUCCCUCCCCUAAUUACAUCAAUAAAAACAGUAUUAAACAGCAUUGGAUUUAAA